This 1193-nucleotide ribosomal RNA is filed under the name uncultured bacterium. Its description in RNAcentral is "bacterial SSU rRNA". It matches the Rfam family "Bacterial small subunit ribosomal RNA", at positions 32 to 1199 of the family's 1533-position model. The record is from RNAcentral.
AGCACUGGCGGCGUGCUAUACAUGCAAGUUGAACGCAACAAAGACACCAGGGCUUGCUCUACCGUCUUUGUUGAGUAGCGAACGGGUGAGUAACGCGUGGGUAACCUGCCUUAUAGCGGGGGAUAACUAUUGGAAACGAUAGCUAAUACCGCAUAACAAUAGAGAUUGCAUAAUCUUUAUUUGAAAGUACCAACUGGUACGCUAUGAGAUGGACCCGCGUUGUAUUAGCUAGUUGGUAGUGUAAUGGACUACCAAGGCGAUGAUACAUAGCCGACCUGAGAGGGUGAUCGGCCACAUUGGGACUGAGACACGGCCCAAACUCCUACGGGAGGCAGCAGUAGGGAAUCUUCGGCAAUGGACGAAAGUCUGACCGAGCAACGCCGCGUGAGUGAAGAAGGUUUUCGGAUCGUAAAACUCUGUUGUUAGAGAAGAAUGUUGAUUAGAGUGGAAAAUUAAUCAAGUGACGGUAUCUAACCAGAAAGGGACGGCUAACUACGUGCCAGCAGCCGCGGUAAUACGUAGGUCCCGAGCGUUGUCCGGAUUUAUUGGGCGUAAAGCGAGCGCAGGUGGUUUAAUAAGUCUGAUGUAAAAGGCAGUGGCUCAACCAUUGUGUGCAUUGGAAACUGUUAGACUUGAGUGCAGUAGAGGAGAGUGGAAUUCCAUGUGUAGCGGUGAAAUGCGUAGAUAUAUGGAGGAACACCGGUGGCGAAAGCGGCUCUCUGGACUGUCACUGACACUGAGGCUCGAAAGCGUGGGUAGCAAACAGGAUUAGAUACCCUGGUAGUCCACGCCGUAAACGAUGAGUGCUAGUUGUUUGGGGCUAUCCAGCCCUAAGUGACGCAGCAAACGCAUUAAGCACUCCGCCUGGGGAGUACGACCGCAAGGUUGAAACUCAAAGGAAUUGACGGGGGCCCGCACAAGCGGUGGAGCAUGUGGUUUAAUUCGAAGCAACGCGAAGAACCUUACCAGGUCUUGACAUACUCGUGCUAUUCCUAGAGAUAGGAAGUUCCUUCGGGACACGGGGUACAGGUGGGUGCAUGGGUUGUCGUCAGCUCGUGUCGUGGAGAUGUUGGGUUAAGUCCCGCAACGAGCGGCAACCCUUAUUGUUAGUUGCCAUCAUAAAGUGGGGCACUCUAGCGAGACUGCGGUAAUAAACCGGAAGGAAGGUGGGGGAUGACGUCAAUCAUCAUUGC